This 253-nucleotide ribosomal RNA is filed under the name uncultured bacterium. RNAcentral's name for it is "partial 16S ribosomal RNA". It matches the Rfam family "Bacterial small subunit ribosomal RNA", at positions 524 to 776 of the family's 1533-position model. The record is from RNAcentral.
UACGGGGGGGGCAAGCGUUGUUCGGAAUUACUGGGCGUAAAGGGCUCGUAGGUGGCCAACUAAGUCAUACGUGAAAUCCCUCAGCUUAACUGGGGAACUGCGUCUGAUACUGGAUGGCUUGAGUUUGGGAGAGGGAUGCGGAAUUCCAGGUGUAGCGGUGAAAUGCGUAGAUAUCAGGAGGAACACCAAUGGCGAAGGCAGCUCGCUGGGACGGUACUGACGCUGAGGCGCGAAAGCGUGGGGAGCAAACAGG